Molecule: ribosomal RNA, 253 nt
Filed under: uncultured bacterium
Lineage: Bacteria
Description: partial 16S ribosomal RNA
Rfam family: Bacterial small subunit ribosomal RNA
Source: RNAcentral
UACGUAGGGGGCAAGCGUUGUCCGGAAUCAUUGGGCGUAAAGCGUGCGUAGACGGUUAUGUAAGUCAGGUGUGAAAGCCCCGGGCUCAACCUGGGAAUUGCAUUUGAGACUGCAUAGCUAGGGUGCGGAAGAGGGAAGCGGAAUUUCCGGUGUAGCGGUGAAAUGCGUAGAUAUCGGAAGGAACACCAGUGGCGAAAGCGGCUUCCUGGUCCAGCACCGACGUUCAGGCACGAAAGCGUGGGGAGCAAACAGG